This 233-nucleotide ribosomal RNA is filed under the name uncultured bacterium. RNAcentral's name for it is "partial 16S ribosomal RNA". It matches the Rfam family "Archaeal small subunit ribosomal RNA", at positions 745 to 978 of the family's 1478-position model. The record is from RNAcentral.
UCCUGGCUGUAAACGAUGCCCGCUAGACGUUGGCGGUCUUACGUGGGUCGUCAGUGUCGUAGCGAAAGCAUUAAGCGGGCCGCCUGGGGAGUACGGUCGCAAGGCUGAAACUUAAGGGAAUUGGCGGGGGAGCACACAAGGGGUGGAGGCUGCGGUUUAAUUGGACCCAACGCCAGGAACCUUACCAGAGGCGACAGCAGGAUGAAGGUCAGGCUGAAGACCUUACCAGACAA